GGAUUAGCAGGUUGGUCGUGCCACUGGUAUGAACUGGCCUUGCUGAUUCCUCCCUCUUGAUGAGCCGUAAUGCCAUUAAUUUGGUGUUGCGAGGAAUCAGGACUGUUACUUUGAAAAAAUUAGAGUGUUUAAAGCAGGCUCACGCUUGAAUACAUUAGCAUGGAAUAACGGAAUAGGACG
RNAcentral lists this ribosomal RNA (180 nucleotides) under uncultured Glomeromycotina. Its description in RNAcentral is "partial small subunit ribosomal RNA". The record is from RNAcentral. Lineage: Eukaryota; Fungi; Glomeromycota.